GAUUUCUGGCUUGAAACAUUUUGCCGGCCACGGUUUCGUGUGUUAGUGCUUGGUGUUCUGGCCAUCCUUCCAAUCGCUAUUUGUCUUUCUUCAUUGAUGGGCAAGUGGUAUUGGAUCUUUUACUUUGAAAAAAUUAGAGUGUUUCAAGCAGGCUUUAUGCUAUGAAUACAUUAGCAUGGAAUAAUAAUUUAGGACUUUGUUUCUAUUUUGUUGGUUUCUAGAGGCGAAGUAAUGAUUGAUAGGGAUAGUUGGGGGUGCUAGUAUUCAGCGGCCAGAGGUGAAAUUCUUGGAUUCGCUGAAGACUAACUUAUGCGAAAGCAUU
RNAcentral lists this ribosomal RNA (322 nucleotides) under uncultured Mollimonas. Its description in RNAcentral is "SSU rRNA". The stretch from base 62 to 322 matches the Rfam family "Eukaryotic small subunit ribosomal RNA", at positions 694 to 955 of the family's 1831-position model. Lineage: Eukaryota; Cercozoa; Glissomonadida. The record is from RNAcentral.